This 744-nucleotide long non-coding RNA is filed under the name Felis catus (domestic cat). Its description in RNAcentral is "lncRNA (ENSFCAG00000040329.2)". Lineage: Eukaryota; Metazoa; Chordata; Mammalia; Carnivora; Felidae. The record is from RNAcentral.
CUCUGCCCUCACGCCUGCAUCCAUGCCCAAGCGUGAGUGUGGGGUGCGCACGUGUGUGGUGUGAGUGUGCGUGUGCACGUCUGUGUGCACUCCUGUGUGUACGCGAUGCGUGUGCGCACACCCAUGUGCACACACACACACACGUGUUGCACACAGAGGCACCUGCUAACACACACAUUCCCCCUCCAGAUUCAGCAGUGACUGAGGCCCUGGGGGCGGGGAGAGCCAGGUGAGCUGGGGCCCAGUCACACCUGAGCGGCGCCCCCACCACUAACUCUCCGGCCCCCACUGUGGCAGAGCUAAGGCUCUCCGAUCAGACUGGGACACGGCUACGGCCACGGGCAGAGGCCCGGGAAUCCAGCUCUGUGUCCGCUGCUCCGUACGACGUCAGAGCUCGGGCCAGAGCCCCCUUUACAGGCUCCUCUCAGACCACCCGGAGGCCCUUGUCACCUCCCUGGAGACCACCGACCGCUCCCACAACCGCAUCCUUGCCGCCGAACUGGAAUCUGCUGUUCCGCUCUCUCCCCUGCCCGCAGCGCUCCAGGCCGGGCCAGGCCCCAGAGCGAAAUAACUGGAAAUCGUUGAAGGCGUCACGUGACUUCUAAAGCAUCACCAUGUGAAGUUCAGUCCCCGUCAUGCUUCCCUCUCAGCCGGCCACCAGCAACCACACGUUGACGGGUCUCGGGAGAACCACGGUUCCAGACACCAAGCCCGGGAGCUACCAGAAUGGUUCCACCUCUGAGU